UACGUAGGGCGCAAGCGUUGUCCGGAAUUAUUGGGCGUAAAGAGCUCGUAGGCGGCCAGUUGCGUCUGCUGUGAAAUCCCGGGGCUCAACCCCGGGCGUGCAGUGGAUACGGGCUGGCUAGAGGCAGGCAGGGGAGAACGGAAUUCCCGGUGUAGCGGUGAAAUGCGCAGAUAUCGGGAGGAACACCGGUGGCGAAGGCGGUUCUCUGGGACGGUACUGACGCUGAGACGCGAAAGCGUGGGGAGCGAACAGG
Molecule: ribosomal RNA, 253 nt
Filed under: uncultured bacterium
Lineage: Bacteria
Description: partial 16S ribosomal RNA
Rfam family: Bacterial small subunit ribosomal RNA
Source: RNAcentral